CUAGCGUGUGGAGCCUCCAGGCGGUGCUCACCGCAGCCACCAUGUAAGUACAUACCCUUCCCCUUCUCUCCUCUUCCACCUGCCCACUUCCCGAUUACAGAUUUUUAAAAAUAUAAAUUACAUAUGAGUUUAUAUAGAAAAAGGAAAGCUAAAUAAUGCUUCUUUUCGCUUAUACAAUAUCCUUGACAAGUAACAUUUGGGACCCUCCAGUUGCCUCUAAUUUACAAUCUAAACUUUAAGGCCAACCAAUAAUUCUUAUUCCCAUCUACCAAAAUCUAACUUACUCAGCUUCAAGGACAGCCUGUUGAAGUCUCCUAACUCUUCCAAGUAUUUGUCUUAUUUAAUGUUCCCAGGGACAAAUGAGAACACAUUACAAGCAAGUAAACAAAAUGAAAUAUUUAUGUUGGAAAGCACCUGAGUGUGAUAGAUCAAUGGAUGUAUAUAAUGGCUAAGACAUCUAAACCACAGUCUACAAAGAACUGCAGUUUUAAGUACAUAGGUAAAUGAGUAAAAAAAUAAAAUCCAUCGAUUCCAUCAAUAUAUUAAUCCUGGUGAGUCUUUCUGUACAGCUCAGUUAAUUCCUAAAAAUCAAUCGUGUUCAAAGGUGGAGAUUCUAAGAGGCAAAGAACUUUCAAGCAACAUGUGCUAGCAUGUAUUACUUCAGUGGCACCAAAAAAAGACAUUUGUUAAUUUAAAGGGAUUAUGGGCAAAGCUACAGGGAAGUCAGUCCAUCCUGCUAUGCCUUAGGUCACUCCUAUUGAGAGUGGAACAUAGGGGAUUUGUCCCCUCCUUGACAGGGUGUUGCUUAUUACCAUGUCGGUGCUGUGUUUAUCCCAUGUUCCUAUCUGAUCUUCCCAGGCAGCAUACAUUUGCCAUAAACUUGUACAUUCUGGAAUAUACAGGUUCCAAAAUUUUCCAAUUUUCUGUCUACUAAUUUGGACAAGUUACUUAACACUUCAAACUAUAAAGUGUACCAUAAUCCUCUCAUCUAUAAAAUGUACCAUAAAGCCUGUGUCCCAGGGUUGUCACAAGGAUUAAAUGAUAUGAAGAAUGUAAAGUGCUUAGUAUGGUGCCAAGCACACAGUAAACACUAGAAAAUGCUACUUUUAUAUUCUUACCUUCCAAUCCUUUGUUUAAAAAUGGCCAUUUAAUGUGGGGUUUGUCUGCUGUCUUUUCUUUCAUUCCUACACCUACCACCUAACUAAACUAAUUCCUAAACAUGACAAUUGACACAAUCUUUACCUGUAUGCCCCCUUGUGCUGUUAGGUAUCCAAUGGUCUUAUCAAUCUCCCAUAACAUUGUACACAAUUACAAUGUACAGGCUGCACAUACUCUUCUCUUGGUUUUCUCUUGCCAGUGUUUAGUACAUGCACAGACAACAAAUGUGCAAUGAAUGUUGUUGCCUUAGCUCUCUGACAGCUGAAGAGAUACAGCACUUCCAGGUUGUAAUAUUUACUGUCUGCAUCAUACAACUGAGUAACUAGUUAACCAACCAUCCAAGGAAGAAAAUAACAGGCUGAUCAGAACUUAUGGUAACAGCUCCUGUGGGUCGAUUUCGGAAUUCACCUUCUUACUCAGUGUGUUUAGCUACUUCUAUAGGAGAGACACUCUGUGGCUACAUGUCAUAAUUUUUCUUCAGUAUAUGGGCUGCUGUACAAAUAGAUGCAAUCAGCAAGAAAGAAGCUGCUUACUUUCUCAAGCUUGGUAAAUACCAUACCAGGAGAUGAGUCAUCUUUGCUAGAAGAUAUAUAACAAAACAAUCAUAGAAGGUUUGCAAGAUAAAUAAAAAUAUCAUAACUGGAUGUUAAGGAAAUUAACCUGUAUAGGGCAACAAAAGAAAACUCGCUGAUUAGGCCCAUACUUACUUUAAUUUAUACUCAGUUAACCCCAGUUAAUAAAACAGAUGAAGUACUACUUUUCCUUAUGGAAGAAGUUCAAGCUGAUUUUUUAAGGAACCAUGUGACCUGUCCCAUCCUAAAUUACCAUAUCAAAGAAGUAAAUUAAAUCGCAAAACUGGUAUCUGAAAAUGACAUCUACAGUUUUCUGCUGCUGUUUAUUUAAUUUUUUUUUUCAUUUUGUUUUAUUUUAUUUUUGCUUAUCCCCCCACCACCCCUGCUGUUGACUCCAGAAUGUUUAAAUAUAAUAGAAAGAGAUUCCAGGAGGCCAUCUGGUUGUAAGAGAAAGACAAAGGACCAGCCUUGCAGUUGUCUGAGUAAAGCAAUCACACUUUUUUGCUAAGACAGCAGGCACAUUUGGGGGGGGGUGCUGUUAGGAGGCUUUCUGAUGGAGAACCCAGUUAGCCACUCUCUGGUACUACCACUGUUAUUUUAAAAUGCUAGAGAAGCUGGGAUGGAUGCAAACUAACUCUCAUAAGAAAAGCCUAUAGCACUGUCACUAUAAAGGAUCCAAGUGGCAGCAGGUAAUCCUUGAGUUGCCUUGGGUAAUUCCUUCACUAUACAGCUAAGUUUACUCACCUGUAAAAGAAAGGAGGUGGACAAAAUCAAUUCUAGUAUCCUGCAAUUCUUUUAUUACUAAAAUUGUAUCAAUGUUUAGCAACUGGCAAUAUUUUAUAAAACUAAAUUCUCAUUUUGGACUCUCUGUUUCCAGCAAGAAGAACAUACAGCAAAGUUCAUGUUGAGAGGUAGCCUAUAUGCAAGUAAGCGGUACAAGGCAGUGGAGAAGAGCUCUAGUUUUGUAGGCACAGGUCUGGGCUCACAGUCCCGUUCCACCACUCCAGUUGUGUGACCAUGGAUAAGUCCUGCUGUCUAGCCAAGCCUCAGUUCCACCACCUGUAAAGCAGAGAUAAUGGUCUCUACUUCACAGAUUGUUGGAUCUGGGAGGUUGUAAGUAUUGAGUAUUAGUUGCUAUUAUUAAGAAGCUAAACAGAAAUAAAUGCAAAAGCAGCUGAAUAAGGGAUACAUUUAUAUAUUAUAAACCAGAAAAGACCUUUCUGGUGGAUCAGUAUUACAUUUUCAUAAGACAUUUCACCCAAGUAUGACCACUUGCAGGUUUGUAUUGUACUCCUAACCAUUUAAUAUUUAAUAAUUAGCAGCAAAGUUAUUGCAGUAAUAUUCCUCUAGAAAGAUUCUUUUCUCUUAUAAUUCAGGGGUGGGGGGAAGUGAAUAAAGUAUAUGUCUGAUUUAAAACUCUUACCACUUCACACAUCAGACACUCGUCUGAUUUCUUAUUUAAACUGCAGUGAGGUCACACUCCUGGGUUUGUGACAUAGCAGCAGGUUGCUAUGGAGAUGAUAGUUUUAUCAGCAACUCUGCUUUGCAAUGACUUCACAGCAAGGUUACAAUGAAGCAGAUGGGCUGUGAAGAAGAUGAACCUCCUUAUCUAAACACAAAUAGCAUUGAUAAUUAAUUAGCUGAAGCAGCAGGGGAAAUUAUGAAAAUGUGUGGAAGCUUCUCAUGAAUGAGAAGCCAGGGACCCAGGAAGCUUAUAAUUGCUGCUGGCUGUGCCUGUGCUAACCAAACUAUGGCAAGGAGGCUGAUUGAGUGAAGCACUGCAAAUAUUUGUGUGGCUCAAAGAAGCAAGGAGAUGUCCCUAGUUGGGAGCAGGUCUAUAAAACAAGAUGGACAAAAGACUUUACAAAGCUUAAGAAAAUAAAAUGGAGGGCGAGUAGGUGAAAGGGGAAACAUGAAGGGUUUGAGUUCAAACUUGGAUUUAGAUUUUAUGUGAACACAGCUCAAUAUUCAUGCAGCUAGGAAGCCCUUUUAUUCUUUCUGCAAAGGACAAUAAAAUAGCUCCAGACUUCAAACACCCUGUGAGAUGCUCCUACUACAUCUCGGAUUCUGGCCUCCUUCCACCACUUACCCUGUCUUAUUUGAUGUAGCUUCACAGUCCUUGGGCCCCACAACAGAUUGUGCACCACCCACGUACACUUCCGUAUGUGAAGGCAGAGGAGAGAAAUUUGAUGACUCUUGCAAAAGUGGAAAGAAGAAAAUAAAAUGAUAAGGCCAUG
Molecule: non-coding RNA, 3967 nt
Organism: Microcebus murinus (gray mouse lemur)
Lineage: Eukaryota; Metazoa; Chordata; Mammalia; Primates; Cheirogaleidae
Source: RefSeq, a predicted model, not a curated record